RNAcentral lists this ribosomal RNA (253 nucleotides) under uncultured bacterium. Its description in RNAcentral is "partial 16S ribosomal RNA". It matches the Rfam family "Bacterial small subunit ribosomal RNA", at positions 524 to 776 of the family's 1533-position model. The record is from RNAcentral.
UACGUAGGUGGCAAGCGUUGUCCGGAUUUAUUGGGUUUAAAGGGUGCGUAGGCGGCUUUGUAAGUCAGUGGUGAAAUAUGGCAGCUCAACUGUCAAGGUGCCAUUGAUACUGCAGAGCUUGAGUACAGAUGAGGUAGGCGGAAUUGACGGUGUAGCGGUGAAAUGCUUAGAUAUCGCUUGGAACGCCAAAGGUGAAGACAGGUGACUGGGGGUGUGCCGACGCUGAGACGCGAAAGCCAGGGGAGCAAACGGG